CCUACGGGAGGCAGCAGUGGGGAAUAUUGGGCAAUGGGCGCAAGCCUGACCCAGCAACGCCGCGUGAAGGAUGACGGUUUUCGGAUUGUAAACUUCUGUUGCGCGGGACGCAGAAUGACGCUACCUCGUAAGAACGCCCCGGCUAACUACGUGCCAGCAGCCGCGGUAAUACGGAGGGGGCAAGCGUUGUCCGGAAUGACUGGGCGUAAAGGGAGUGUAGGCGGCCUUGUAAGUUAGUUGUGAAAUCCUACGGCUUAACCGUAGAACUGCAACUAAAACUGUGGGUCUGGAGUGCAGGAGAGGUAAGUGGAAUGCGUGGUGUAGCGGUGGAAUGCAUAGAUAUUAGGAAGAACACCAGAGGCGAAGGCGACUCACUGGACUGUAACUGACGCUGAAGCUCGAAAGCGUGGGGAGCAAACAGGAUUAGAUACCCGAGUAGUC
This 441-nucleotide ribosomal RNA is filed under the name uncultured bacterium. Its description in RNAcentral is "partial 16S ribosomal RNA". It matches the Rfam family "Bacterial small subunit ribosomal RNA", at positions 338 to 795 of the family's 1533-position model. The record is from RNAcentral.